UACGUAGGGGGCAAGCGUUAUCCGGAUUUACUGGGUGUAAAGGGGGCGCAGACGGCAAUGCAAGCCAGGAGUGAAAGCCCGGGGCCCAACCCCGGGACUGCUCUUGGAACUGCAUGGCUGGAGUACAGGAGGGGCAGGCGGAAUUUCUAGUGUAGCGGUGAAAUGCGUAGAUAUUAGGAGGAACACCGGUGGCGAAGGCGGCCUGCUGGACUGUGACUGACGUUGAGGCCCGAAGGCGUGGGGAGCAAACAGG
This 253-nucleotide ribosomal RNA is filed under the name uncultured bacterium. Its description in RNAcentral is "partial 16S ribosomal RNA". It matches the Rfam family "Bacterial small subunit ribosomal RNA", at positions 524 to 776 of the family's 1533-position model. The record is from RNAcentral.